RNAcentral lists this transfer RNA (72 nucleotides) under Araneus ventricosus. RNAcentral describes it as "tRNA-Gln". Lineage: Eukaryota; Metazoa; Arthropoda; Arachnida; Araneae; Araneidae. The record is from RNAcentral.
AGGUUCCACCGAGUUUUGCCCUCGGAUCUCUGGAUUCAAAAUCCAGAGUACUAACCAUUACACCAUGGAACC